GGCGACUUAGCCAAGUGGUAAGGCGUGGGACUGCAACUCCCUGAUCGUUGGUUCGAGUCCGACAGUCGCCU
Molecule: transfer RNA, 71 nt
Organism: Firmicutes bacterium CAG:882
Lineage: Bacteria; Bacillati; Bacillota
Rfam family: tRNA
About the family: Transfer RNA (tRNA) molecules are approximately 80 nucleotides in length. Their secondary structure includes four short double-helical elements and three loops (D, anti-codon, and T loops). Further hydrogen bonds mediate the characteristic L-shaped molecular structure. tRNAs have two regions of fundamental functional importance: the anti-codon, which is responsible for specific mRNA codon recognition, and the 3' end, to which the tRNAs corresponding amino acid is attached (by aminoacyl-tRNA synthetases). tRNAs cope with the degeneracy of the genetic code in two manners: having more than one tRNA (with a specific anti-codon) for a particular amino acid; and 'wobble' base-pairing, i.e. permitting non-standard base-pairing at the 3rd anti-codon position.
Source: Rfam